RNAcentral lists this ribosomal RNA (253 nucleotides) under uncultured bacterium. RNAcentral's name for it is "partial 16S ribosomal RNA". It matches the Rfam family "Bacterial small subunit ribosomal RNA", at positions 524 to 776 of the family's 1533-position model. The record is from RNAcentral.
UACGGGGGGGGCAAGCGUUGUUCGGAAUUACUGGGCGUAAAGGGCUCGUAGGUGGCCAACUAAGUCGGACGUGAAAUCCCUCGGCUUAACCGGGGAACUGCGUCCGAUACUGGUUGGCUUGAGUUUGGGAGAGGGAUGCGGAAUUCCAGGUGUAGCGGUGAAAUGCGUAGAUAUCUGGAGGAACACCGGUGGCGAAGGCGACGUCCUGGACCGGCAUUGACGCUGAGGCGCGAAAGCCAGGGGAGCAAACGGG